CGGGGCUUAAAGUCUUGUAAUUGGAAUGAUGGGAAUUUAAACCUCUUCCAGAGUAUCAAUUGGAGGGCAAGUCUGGUGCCAGCAGCCGCGGUAAUUCCAGCUCCAAUAGCGUAUAUUAAAAUUGUUGCAGUUAAAAAGCUCGUAGUUGAAUUUCUGCUGCAUUGCUUGUGUCCCUCUGGGGUCUGUGAAUGUGGCUUUUUUCGGACGGAGUUUCUUUGUCUGAAUGUUUACUUUGAGAAAAUUAGAGUGCUCAAAGCAGGCUUUCGCCUUGAAUAGUUUAGCAUGGAAUAAUAAAGUAGGACUUUGGUUCUAUUUUGUUGGUUUUAGGUACCAAAGUAAUGGUUAAUAGGAACAGUUGGGGGCAUUCGUAUUUAACUGUCAGAGGUGAAAUUCUUAGAUUUGUUAAAGACGAACUACUGCGAAAGCAUUUGCCAAGGAUGUUUUCAUUAAUCAAGAAC
RNAcentral lists this ribosomal RNA (458 nucleotides) under Theileria annulata. RNAcentral describes it as "SSU rRNA". It matches the Rfam family "Eukaryotic small subunit ribosomal RNA", at positions 486 to 984 of the family's 1831-position model. The record is from RNAcentral. Lineage: Eukaryota; Apicomplexa; Aconoidasida; Piroplasmida; Theileriidae.